ACGGGAUUCUGCAAUUCACACCAAGUAUCGCAUUUCGCUACGUUCUUCAUCGAUGCGAGAGCCGAGAUAUCCGUUGCCGAGAGUCGUUUAAUGUUAUAUACGACUUGGUGCCACGUCCACGACCGGCGAACCGGUCGGAGAAGGGCACGCUUGUAUUCAUGUUCCU
Molecule: ribosomal RNA, 166 nt
Filed under: Atriplex halimus (Mediterranean saltbush)
Lineage: Eukaryota; Viridiplantae; Streptophyta; Magnoliopsida; Caryophyllales; Amaranthaceae
Description: 5.8S ribosomal RNA
Source: RNAcentral